Long non-coding RNA from Hipposideros armiger (great roundleaf bat), 396 nucleotides. RefSeq lists it as uncharacterized. Lineage: Eukaryota; Metazoa; Chordata; Mammalia; Chiroptera; Hipposideridae. The transcript is spliced from 3 exons. The record is from RefSeq and is a predicted model, not a curated record.
UUCCCGAUACACUCCGACUUAACGCUGCCUCCAAAACAGCAAAAGAUCAAGGAUAACACACCAAAACACACGUCACUGGUCUUAUGGAACGUUUACAGGCAGCCGUACGGGUAAAACUGUGAUGGCACAUUCCAGGGCGAUGAAGAGCUACUUACAAGUUCUGAUCAGAUCUAAUAUCCAGUAAGAGAAUCUGCAUACUUUAACUUCAACCUGACCUAAAGAAAUUCCAGAGGACAUCUACCUCCAGAGUGAUCUCUUAAGGCCCGAAGAACCAUACUUCCACCGUGACACUCAAAGAUUGAUCCAAGGAGCAGAAGACUGUCCUGGAGAAGAGCCUGGACAACUGGACGCCAGGAGCCAGCACACUCUCAAAUUGCUUGUGCAGCCAACAUUCCC